Molecule: unclassified non-coding RNA, 195 nt
Filed under: uncultured fungus
Lineage: Eukaryota; Fungi
Description: sequence contains ITS1
Source: RNAcentral
GUAUAUGUUUUAUAGGCACAACAUUCUAUCGACAUACAUUGGGGUAAAUGAAACGACAUAGACCUGAAAGGCCUACAAAAAGUGCACAGGUGGAGAUAUAAAGAUGACAAGGCGUGCACAUGCUCCCUAGAGAACCAGCAACAACCCAUCAGGUUUAUUUCAAUAAUGAUCCUUCCGCAGGUUCACCUACGGAAA